Molecule: ribosomal RNA, 301 nt
Filed under: uncultured bacterium
Lineage: Bacteria
Description: partial 16S ribosomal RNA
Rfam family: Bacterial small subunit ribosomal RNA
Source: RNAcentral
CAGCCGCCGCGGUAAUACGAGGGGGGCAAGCGUUGUUCGGAAUUGUUGGGCGUAAAGGGUGCGUAGGCGGCUUGACAAGUCUUGUGUGAAAUCUUCAGGCUCAACUUGAAGUCUGCAUGGGAAACUGCGGGGCUGGAGUAUGGGAGAGGUGAGUGGAAUUCCUGGUGUAGCGGUGAAAUGCGUAGAUAUCAGGAGGAACACCUGUGGCGAAAGCGGCUCACUGGACCAUAACUGACGCUGAAGCACGAAAGCUAGGGGAGCAAACAGGAUUAGAUACCCCUGUAGUCCCUGUCUCUUAUAC